Brassica oleracea var. oleracea is the source of this 611-nucleotide long non-coding RNA. RefSeq lists it as uncharacterized. The record is from RefSeq and is a predicted model, not a curated record. NCBI's taxonomy places the organism in Eukaryota, Viridiplantae, Streptophyta, Magnoliopsida, Brassicales, Brassicaceae. The transcript has 3 exons.
AGAUGCGAUUGUUAAAAAUUGAGCACCAGACCAGAAUUUGACUCUUAAAAGAGACACGUAAAAUGGACUAACUAUCACAGGUGCCUCAUUGCAAAACAAGUUUAUGGUUUUUUUAAAACGGUAUGAUUCGUUACAUAUUCUCUCACUGAAUACAAAAUGAGGCUUUUUAUCUAAGGCCUUUCGGGAAGCAAAGAGGGAUGGCCAAAUGAACGACAUACAUCAUACCAAAAGGCUGGAAGGUGAUGACUUGGUUCAUGUAAGUUCACCUGGAUCUUGAGAUUGGCAUGGAUCCAAAUAAAUAUGAACCUUCAAGAUGGGAGGGAUACAGACCUAUACCAGGCACAUUCCUUCAUUUUCAUUUAGGAAGCGGUCUUUGUCCGGAGAAAAAUCUUGCCAAGCUCGAGAUUCUAAUUUUUCUUCAUCUUUAACCAUUGAAGAUGGGUUUAGCUACGCUAGCUUUGAAGCUGUGGGUUAUGACUUCAACACUAUUGAGCUGAGUCAGCUGGUGAGAAGGGUCUCGUUCUUUGAUUCCAAAAUUCUCUGUAGCCAUGCACUGGAGUUGAGUGAACGCGUACAAGCCAGAGAUUAGUGUAUACUUGGAGUAUUGUGGG